AGAAUCAACGCUGGCGGCGUGCCUAACACAUGCAAGUCGCACGAGAAAGGGGAGCAAUCCCUGAGUAAAGUGGCGCACGGGUGAGUAACACGUGAAUAAUCUACCUCCGAGUGGGGAAUAACUGAGAGAAAUCUUAAGCUAAUACCGCAUAACACUUACGAGUCAAAGCAGCAAUGCGCUUGGAGAGGAGUUCGCGGCCGAUUAGUUAGUUGGCGGGGUAAUGGCCCACCAAGACGAUGAUCGGUA
This 246-nucleotide ribosomal RNA is filed under the name uncultured bacterium. RNAcentral's name for it is "partial small subunit ribosomal RNA". It matches the Rfam family "Bacterial small subunit ribosomal RNA", at positions 26 to 285 of the family's 1533-position model. The record is from RNAcentral.